Long non-coding RNA from Syngnathus acus (greater pipefish), 3620 nucleotides. RefSeq lists it as uncharacterized. NCBI's taxonomy places the organism in Eukaryota, Metazoa, Chordata, Actinopteri, Syngnathiformes, Syngnathidae. The record is from RefSeq and is a predicted model, not a curated record. The transcript is spliced from 2 exons.
GGACGGUCUAAAACGCUCAACCGAACCUGGCGAACAAACGACCGCAAAAAUGUCCCCUCGAUUCAAACGACAGUCCCACGCUGAUGGACGAUUCGCUCCAGCUGACCCUUGAGUCCAUCAGAUGCCCCCCCCCCCCGCAUCCCCGGGGCAACGGGCAGCCCCAUUUGUCUACUCGAUGCGGCUAAACAGUCUGUCCGCCCAGCAGGUCCUCUCGGGCCGGACUCUCAGCCGCUGACCCGAACCGAUGAACGGCCGAGCCGUCUGUUGGCUUGCCUGUCGCAGCCUUGUUGGCACGAGGCUCGGCCUGGCUAGCCAGAACACGAAGAUGAUGCUGCUCAGUUUCGAUUGGUCGGAGAGUAUUGAAUUAAAUAUGAUAGAAAAUGCAAAGAUGUUUUUGUAUAAGACUUGUCUCCAUUGGGUCUCAUUAGAUUGCACCGGUGUGGCCAUCUGGUGAAUACAACGCAAUUUACUGCAAUGUGAUUGCACAAGAGGCUUUUUUCCCCCUCAGCGAGUUUUGACGUGCACAAAUAAAUCUCCAGGAGGUUAUAUGGUUAGAUGCUAGGAUGAGGGUUUCACAAUACAAAACUUAAUAUAAGUUUAAUAAAGUUCUUCCUUAUUUUCUUUGCCAAGAGUUGGUGAUGAAGUCGAAAUGGCAACAUGAGAAUUAGCCUGUGCGGUUUUUAAUCAAACAUUAGAGAUUCGUAGCGCGGGUUCCAUCAGAGGAAGCAACUUGAUUCAUCCCACUUGCAAUAUAUUCUUCUUUUCCUUACAGUACAAAGCCGCUAAGCCAAAAUCUGACUAUUUUUACAUCCUGUUACAGUACUUAUAUAAGUCCGGUUUUAGAGUUGCUCUUAAGCGAUGUCAGACAUCUAGUGGUGAACACUGUUAUUACAACUUAAAACGGCUCAUCCGCAUUUUAACUUUUCAAAAAUCUUUUGUAUUCUCCCUUUUCUUUUUGUAUCUAAUGUGACAAGUGGGGGGGGAAAAAAAAUAAAAAUUGACAGGCCGUCCAGUCUCAGCAAGCGCCAAGCGUCCCUAACACCAUGACGGCAACCAUAUGGUUGGUGACAUAUUGCUCUUCAUUACGCCUCAAAGCAACAACAAGCCUCCAGGGGCGAGCACUGACCCUCUGACAAAUCUCAUUCACACAGCAGCAUUACUUUUAUGAACAGAACAAAAGGCCCUCAUGGAGUGAGCUUGCAUUAACCACAUUGGGAGGAAUGGAAAGAUUGGCAGCAUGUGAAGAGGAUUACGCAAUGUUAUGCUGCGUAGGAGCCCUAGAUGUUCCAUUGUCUUCAAAGUAGAAAUUAUUUUUCACAGCUAGGCCUAAAAAGCACGAGAAAAGGGACUUGAUAUCGUAUUUAUGGAGAGCGGGCAUCAUGACACAAUCCAACCGAGGCGUUCUUUCGUGUAGGUGUUUAUAUGAAUACCUUUUGUGCUAAUCAUUUAACGACUAGAGUGUUAGGAAAAAGGCCUGAAUUAUUUCACUGGCAACGUUCGACAAGAAAAAGACAUUAUUUCACAUUAGAAAAUCCCUGGAGCAACUUGGACUAUAGAAAAAAAAAAGGACUAUAUAGAAAAUCAUUUGCAUGAAAGCCAGGAUGUUUUUACUCAAGAUGAAAACAUAGUGGGAACCUCAUUAACCCAAUUGCAAUGAGCCAGUCAGCGAUUGCGGAAAGGUCCGGACCCCUCGUCGCAUUCUCAUUACGACCGUCGACGGCAAGAGCAGUAAUAGCUUUGUCCGUAUGUCACUUGGAUUGCAAAGUAUCGCUGUUCUGCUCCCAGCGCAAAUAUGAUAUUGUUUCCACGGCUGUCUAAUGGAGGUGCUUUUUCCGGAUUAAGGCGAAUUUGUUGUUUUCGCCGUGUCCUCGUUUGCCCUCGUUUAGUCGGAACAAUAUGGCGUCAGGUAGAGAUAGAUGAGUUAUUAGUAUAUAUAGUGUACUGCAUAUACUUUUAUUUUUACAUUAGCUCAUCAUUUAGCAAGCUCGCUCAGAUGCGCGAGUACUCGUGAGUGUUGACGUUGGAGCGGGUCUGUGCCCGGAGUUUGCCGCUCCGACGGGGACCUUCGUGUGGAUUUGAGCCCAACUGUAAAUCAGAGGUGUUAUGAAAUGCAAUGGCCAUAUCACGCGGGGCAAUCACACUGCGAGGUUGACAUUUUGAAAAAAUCCCUCCUGUGUGAUCCCUGGUGAAGAAUGAUCGUCAUCUCAAUAGCGUUCUAUAAGAAAAAGGCUUUUGUGCCCGACAGUGGCUUAUCAUUGUUGGGGAGUUUGAAAUCCCCGCACGAACAAACUAAAUAAUGAUGAGAUGGAUUGACAAGUAGUUGACUUGAAACAAAAACGGCGGUAUGGGGAGAAUAUUUCUUUGCACUCAUAAAAUGUAAAUAUUCGAUUCUGUUAAUUGUAACAUGAUAUGAACUUAAGUUUCAAUAUUCAAGGAAAUUUUUUUUUCCAAACGAUAUUUAUGUGAUUUAGUCAAGUCGAUUAGUCGCCGAUGACGUUACCGAUUUUUUUUUCUGUAUAGUAGUAGUACUAAUUGACUAGUCCGUACGCCACAAGCAGUUUGUGCUCAGUGAUGUCUUCACCAGUAUGCAGUACCAAUCAGGGCAAGGAACCGCAGAACUGAGGUCUUGAGUGAUUGCCUGGCUGCGGAAUAACUCAAUUUUAUGUUUUUUUUAAAAAAAGGGACGAGGAGCAGAAAACAGUCAAAGAAAGUCGGCUUAAAUUUUAACAGGUCUCACAAGCGCCCCUGUCUAUUUUUUUCACAGCAGAAAAAAAGCUAACCACAGACAAACGUGUGACAAUGAAUCAGUGAGACGGCAGCGACUUUUAACGAUAGCAUGACAUUUAAACAAACAGUGGCGUGUGUGAGGAUAAAUCUGUAAUGGCUUGAAAAAAAAAUAAGGCAAAUCAGAAAUCUUAGGGGACAAAUAUGCUUUACGACCUUCCAAAGCUGUUCUUCAAGAAGUAUUUUACUGCUGUCUGCGCUACGGCUUGGUGCAGUGCAUUAUGGGAUGUUUUAAUAAGGCCACCAUAGCCCCGCCCACUGUCCUUUAUGAGAGUGCAUUUCUGAAAGUCACAUAGUUGCUCAGUCUAAGGUGUUAUUUUAACCCAUUUAUUACUAAAGAAGGUUUUGGACAAGGUAGACGAAUCUGGGAGAAGGUGGGCUGCGCCGUUGUGGGAGUGGCUACAGUUAAAUCAUAGCCAAUCAAGGCAAGCCAAUCAAUGACAACAUUUGACAACACAAAACUACUAUUUCAAACCCAAUCGGUAGUGACUAGUCACUGUGUGGGCCUGAGCAGUUACAUGUUAAAAAUCCUAACCUGUACGGUAAAAAUGUUUUUAUGUCUGUGUGACCUUGCAAUAAGUAAUUAGCAUUUCCAUCAUGCCUGUGAGAUUGUUGUGGGAUUCAAAGAAACUGAAGCCUAACCCAUGGAGUGUUUCCUGCAGUUGCUCUGCAAUUCCAUGACUUAAUCAGUCUGUGCUAUAUAUUUCUUAAUUUUAGUGUGUUAGCUUAGAGGUCUCACUAGGGAGUUGAGUGUGUACGGGUUGCGUUGUGGAAUCUGAAAAUAUCAACAUCGCUUGUCGAUUCCACCGUUGCAAAUGUCAGCUCGCUACAUCGAA